Long non-coding RNA from Eutrema salsugineum, 380 nucleotides. RefSeq lists it as uncharacterized. The record is from RefSeq and is a predicted model, not a curated record. The transcript has 2 exons. NCBI's taxonomy places the organism in Eukaryota, Viridiplantae, Streptophyta, Magnoliopsida, Brassicales, Brassicaceae.
GAGAGAAGAACAAAACAAAAUGGUAAUGAAGAAAACAAGACAAGCUUUUCUUCUUCUGAGCUUACUUCAUAUGUUUCUAUGUCUAUCCUUUCAGGCUCGUGUCACAGAGGCUAGACUCCGUCACCUAGGUGAGGCUCGGAUGUCGAAACCCAGCAUAAGCGUAAGACCACCGCCACCAUGUCGAGCUCCUCUGAGUCCUGGUCGAGUGACUCCACUUAAGCGGCCUUGUAUAUCAGUUCCAAGACCUCCACGAAGAGAUCGGUGAUCUCAUCCGCCCAACAAUAUAAUUAGCCAUUAUACAAAAAAAAAAUACAAUAUAAUUAGCAACGUUAAAUAUGAACUUACACAUUCGAUUCCACAAAGACUUUAGGAGAAGCCCA